UCCUACGGGAGGCAGCAGUGGGGAAUAUUGCACAAUGGGGGAAACCCUGAUGCAGCCAUGCCGCGUGUGCUAAGAAGGCCUUCGGGUUGUAAAGCACUUUAAGCAGUGAGGAAGGGGAGCUCUUUAAUCGCGGUAUUCAUUGAC
Molecule: ribosomal RNA, 144 nt
Filed under: uncultured Gammaproteobacteria bacterium
Lineage: Bacteria; Pseudomonadati; Pseudomonadota; Gammaproteobacteria
Description: partial 16S ribosomal RNA
Rfam family: Bacterial small subunit ribosomal RNA
Source: RNAcentral